This 252-nucleotide ribosomal RNA is filed under the name uncultured bacterium. RNAcentral describes it as "partial 16S ribosomal RNA". It matches the Rfam family "Bacterial small subunit ribosomal RNA", at positions 524 to 776 of the family's 1533-position model. The record is from RNAcentral.
UACGAAGGGGCGAGCGUUGUUCGGAUUUACUGGGCGUAAAGGGCGCGCAGGCGGUCUUGAAAGUCAGGCGUGAAAGCCCCGGGCUUAACCUGGGAAUUGCGCUUGAUACUCUGAGACUGGAGUACGGGAGAGGAGAGUGGAAUUCCCAGUGUAGAGGUGAAAUUCGUAGAUAUUGGGAAGAACACCAGUGGCGAAGGCGGCUCUCUGGACCGUAACUGACGCUGAGGCGCGAAAGCGUGGGGAGCAAACAGG